Acanthosepion pharaonis is the source of this 85-nucleotide non-coding RNA. The record is from the annotation of a GenBank genome assembly. Lineage: Eukaryota; Metazoa; Mollusca; Cephalopoda; Sepiida; Sepiidae.
GCCGGUUCUCCUACGAUCACCGAAGUUAAGCAAUAUCAAGCCUGGUUAAUACCUAGAUUGGUGACGGCUCGGGAAUACCUGGUGC